RNAcentral lists this ribosomal RNA (276 nucleotides) under uncultured bacterium. Its description in RNAcentral is "partial 16S ribosomal RNA". The record is from RNAcentral.
CUGCUGCCUUCCGUAGGAGUCUGGUCCGUGUCUCAGUACCAGUGUGGGGGGCCUUCCUCUCAGAACCCCUACGCAUCGUCGCCUCGGUGGGCCGUUACCCCGCCGACUAGCUAAUGCGCCGCAUGCCCAUCCGUGGCCGGGAUUGCUCCCUUUGGCGGCCUUGGGAUGUCCCUAGGCCGCGUUACGCGGUAUUAGACGGGGUUUCCCCCGCCUAUCCCCCUGCCACGGGCAGGUUGCAUACGUGUUACUCACCCGUGCGCCGGUCGCCGGCAACGG